ACACGAGGAAGGAGGUGGUCCGAAGUUGUAUAGCUACAGGACUCUGCGUGAGGUGGCUGUCCGCUAGGACCUCCCCCAAGGUGGUCUGGGCGAAUCCCAGGCAGCCACCCGGCCCCCGUGACCCCGAGCCCAGUCCAGCUCGGCCCGCACAGCGUGCGGGAGACGGUCAGGGGGCCGUUUCAC
RNAcentral lists this small RNA (183 nucleotides) under Saccharothrix espanaensis DSM 44229. Its description in RNAcentral is "Actinobacteria sRNA Ms_IGR-5". It matches the Rfam family "Actinobacteria sRNA Ms_IGR-5". Lineage: Bacteria; Bacillati; Actinomycetota; Actinomycetes; Pseudonocardiales; Pseudonocardiaceae. The record is from Rfam by way of RNAcentral.